Molecule: unclassified non-coding RNA, 343 nt
Filed under: soil metagenome
Description: partial contains 5.8S ribosomal RNA, internal transcribed spacer 2, and large subunit ribosomal RNA
Rfam family: 5.8S ribosomal RNA (bases 1-120)
Source: RNAcentral
GAUGAAGAACGCAGCGAAAUGCGAUAAGUAAUGUGAAUUGCAGAAUCCAGUGAAUCAUCGAAUCUUUGAACGCACAUUUCGCCCGCCAGCAUUCUGGCGGGCAUGCCUGUUCGAGCGUCAUUUCAACCCUCGACCUCCCUUUGGGGAAGUCGGCGUUGGGGACCGGCAGCACACCGCCGGCCCUGAAAUGGAGUGGCGGCCCGUCCGCGGCGACCUCUGCGUAGUAAACCAACUCGCACCGGAACCCCGACGUGGCCACGCCGUAAAACACCCAACUUCUGAACGUUGACCUCGAAUCAGGUAGGACUACCCGCUGAACUUAAGCAUAUCAAUAAGCGGAGGA